RNAcentral lists this ribosomal RNA (465 nucleotides) under Vreelandella stevensii. RNAcentral's name for it is "partial 16S ribosomal RNA". It matches the Rfam family "Bacterial small subunit ribosomal RNA", at positions 338 to 795 of the family's 1533-position model. The record is from RNAcentral. Lineage: Bacteria; Pseudomonadati; Pseudomonadota; Gammaproteobacteria; Oceanospirillales; Halomonadaceae.
CCUACGGGGGGCUGCAGUGGGGAAUAUUGGACAAUGGGGGCAACCCUGAUCCAGCCAUGCCGCGUGUGUGAAGAAGGCCCUCGGGUUGUAAAGCACUUUCAGUGAGGAAGAACGCCUGGUGGUUAAUACCCAUCAGGAAAGACAUCACUCACAGAAGAAGCACCCGCUAACUCCGUGCCAGCAGCCGCGGUAAUACGGAGGGUGCGAGCGUUAAUCGGAAUUACUGGGCGUAAAGCGCGCGUAGGUGGCUUGAUAAGCCGGUUGUGAAAGCCCCGGGCUCAACCUGGGAACGGCAUCCGGAACUGUCAAGCUAGAGUGCAGGAGAGGAAGGUAGAAUUCCCGGUGUAGCGGUGAAAUGCGUAGAGAUCGGGAGGAAUACCAGUGGCGAAGGCGGCCUUCUGGACUGACACUGACACUGAGGUGCGAAAGCGUGGGUAGCAAACAGGAUUAGAUACCCGUGUAGUC